GUUUUCCUCUGAGGCUUCGGACAGCUGCCACAUCGUCAUGAAUUUACGGCAGCCGGCGAGGAAAAACUGAGCUUCCGAUCAAGUUCAGGUUCGGAGUCGCGCUUCGAGCGUUUCAUUCAGGCGGAUCAAUCGAUCAAUCGAUACAUUGCUCCAGCCUCGGCCCGUCGUCUGUCCGUUAGCAGACACAAUGCAGACAAUGUGAGGCUGUUGAGAGUCAGCCAGUGUUCAUGUCAGCGGGCCGCCCCGCUCACACAAAGAGGACCAGACCUCGUCCAGCAUCCUCCGCCUCCCAUUAGAGCUGUAAGUGGCCUUUGUUUUGACAGGCGCAAAGUGCGAUCAGAAAACAUGGUCACCCGGUGCAUUGUGGGACAUGUGAUAUCGACGGAGCUGGCCUGGGACGAGGCUGACGGAGGUCAGAGGGCUCGCAGCGAAAGUCGGAGACUUGACUCGAUCUCACAGUGAAGGAGCAGCGAGAAUAAGUACUUUCUUAAGUUCACUAAAGAUUCGGAGCUGCAGAAGACUGAAUCAUUUAAAUGUCUUACUGCUCAAGGUAGUCAGUGCAGCAGCAGUUUGUUUGAAGACAUGAAGGCAGGAGGAUGAUGAGAAGGCUUCUUCCCCUUCUCUGCCUCUCCUUUGAUGGAAUAAAAUCUGGCAGCCUCUUUUAGGAGCCCAAAUCCACAAGACUGGAGGUUAGAGGUCCCAACAAGGAGUCCUGCAGUUGGUGCGGGUGUCCGUGCAUGCUGUGCACCGGCUGUGGGGCCCCC
This is a long non-coding RNA of Acanthopagrus latus (yellowfin seabream), 764 nucleotides long. RefSeq lists it as uncharacterized. The record is from RefSeq and is a predicted model, not a curated record. Lineage: Eukaryota; Metazoa; Chordata; Actinopteri; Spariformes; Sparidae. The transcript is spliced from 3 exons.